CUGGGCGUAAAGACGCAUGCAGGUGGUUUGGUUUAAGUUCAGAUGUGAAAGACCCGGGGCCGUCAACCUACCGGAAUAAGCAUUUGUAAACUAGGCAGACUAGAGUACUGUAGAGGGGGGUAGGGAAUUUCUAGGUGUAGCGGUGAAAUAGCGUAGAGAUCUGAAGGAAUACCGGUGGCGAAGGCGGCCCCCCUCGGACAGAUACUGACACUCAGAUGCGAAAGCGUGGGGGAGCAAACAGGAUUAGAUACCCCUGGUAG
This 260-nucleotide ribosomal RNA is filed under the name uncultured bacterium. Its description in RNAcentral is "partial 16S ribosomal RNA". It matches the Rfam family "Bacterial small subunit ribosomal RNA", at positions 554 to 793 of the family's 1533-position model. The record is from RNAcentral.